Camellia sinensis is the source of this 584-nucleotide long non-coding RNA. RefSeq lists it as uncharacterized. The record is from RefSeq and is a predicted model, not a curated record. Lineage: Eukaryota; Viridiplantae; Streptophyta; Magnoliopsida; Ericales; Theaceae.
CACAGAGGCCAACAGACCACUAUCAUUGCGUCAAAGAGACCACCUUUCACAUGAAACAUUUCUACAGGCUUAUACUAUUUCUGUCUCGUUGGACCAUUGGAUCACUACCAUCACACCAUUUCCAUACAGGUGAUUAUUUGAUUCAUGGUGUUGGAAGGAAUACUUUUCUUUUGUUCAGGUGGUGCUUUUGGUGUUAGAAAGACUCUUUUUGAUUUUAGGUAGGGGAUAUAGUUGUCUCAAAAAGUGUCAUUAGGUCAACAAAAACAGUUGCAAUUGGAGUACUUAAAAGUACAGACCCAUCUAAAUAACUAAAAGGGCAAGAACUAGGAUCUGACUAAUAUGGAAGGCACAUGUUCAAGUGUCAGUCAAACCUAAUGAGAGCUUGAUCCGAUCAUAUGGACUUGUCAAAACAAUUAGACAAGCUAUUGGAACUCAUGUUGCUUGGCCUUCUCCAUUUGUGAUUUCGCAAGUUAUGGAUGCUAGUCGAGAAAUUUAUACCGGUGAGGUUGAGAAUUUGGGAACUAAAUUUGUUUUGAUAAUGUCUCUCCGGAAGAUGGAUAUCACUAUGGCUUUUCAGAAUUUAU